GACGAACGCUGGCGGCGUGCCUAAUACAUGCAAGUCGAGCGGACCUUUUAAAAGCUUGCUUUUGAAAGGUCAGCGGCGGACGGGUGAGUAACACGUGGGCAACCUGCCUGUAAGACUGGGAUAACUUCGGGAAACCGGAGCUAAUACCGGAUAAUAUAAGGAACCUCCUGGUUCUUUAUUGAAAGAUGGUUUCGGCUAUCACUUACAGAUGGGCCCGCGGCGCAUUAGCUAGUUGGUGAGGUAACGGCUCACCAAGGGGACGAUGCGUAGCCGACCUGAGAGGGUGAUCGGCCACACUGGGACUGAGACACGGCCCAGACUCCUACGGGAGGCAGCAGUAGGGAAUCUUCCACAAUGGACGAAAGUCUGAUGGAGCAACGCCGCGUGAGCGAUGAAGGCCUUCGGGUCGUAAAGCUCUGUUGUUAGGGAAGAACAAGUGCGAGAGUAACUGCUCGCACCUUGACGGUACCUAACCAGAAAGCCACGGCUAACUACGUGCCAGCCGCCGCAGUAA
RNAcentral lists this ribosomal RNA (514 nucleotides) under uncultured bacterium. RNAcentral's name for it is "partial 16S ribosomal RNA". It matches the Rfam family "Bacterial small subunit ribosomal RNA", at positions 28 to 523 of the family's 1533-position model. The record is from RNAcentral.